This is a long non-coding RNA of Neofelis nebulosa (Clouded leopard), 1999 nucleotides long. RefSeq lists it as uncharacterized. The transcript is spliced from 7 exons. The record is from RefSeq and is a predicted model, not a curated record. NCBI's taxonomy places the organism in Eukaryota, Metazoa, Chordata, Mammalia, Carnivora, Felidae.
GCCUUUGUCUGAUGACCACAGACUAUGGAUGGUGUUUCCCUCGUAUGAAUGAAUUGCAUGCAGAUAACUACGUCUCUAAAUUUUUUCUUGGCACAUAUCAUGUUCCAAGGGCCUCAUGAAACAAGUUGGAAAGUGGUGCUUCAUCCCCUGUUCUCUGUAGAGUGUGUAUAAGAGAGGGAAUAGGAAGACCUGAGAAGGAGGAGCAAGCUGGGGGAACAGCAGAUAAGGAAAUGCCGAAGCAAGAAGAUGAACCACAGUACAUGUAUUCACUAACCCAUGUGCCUGCUUCCAUCUAUAGAACCUGGGAUCCGAGGGAGACCCAUCCCAGCAGGGUUCAUGUGAAGGUUAGAUAAGAAAAUGUGUUUGAAGUGUCAAGAUGAUAUUAAUUAGAUCCCUUCUCAUGUUUUAAAAUAAAUGGUUGUGAAUAUCUCCAGUUCAUCAUCAGAACCUGAGGCAGAGCCAAGCACCGCCCCCCACCAGCCACAGUGGAGUAGUGGCUGAGAAAGGCCCUAGGAAGCAGAAAAGAGCCUUUGAAGUUCUGCUUUUGCAAAACAAACCUAUAAAAGCAUCCAGGGACUAGAGAACAUUCCAGAGGGGACCUGGAAGAAGGCAGAACUACAAGAUGAACAGGACCAAGACUGAUUCCAAAUCUUUGCUCUAGUUCGCAUUAGCUGUGUAAUCUUCAACCAAUGCCCAUACGCUCUUGCAACCCUGUGGCAGAGAUUGUGUUUCUCAAACCAUUUCCUUUUCUCUGGGCAAACAGAAGUCAGCAGUGGUCCCGGGACUGAUUCUGGCCAAUGGGAUGUACGUGAACUGCCAAACUAUUUCUGGAAAGGAAAGCACAUUUCUCAUGCCGUCCACAAUGUAUAAGAGUUCCAGUGUCUCUGAAGAAAAAUGAACCUGGACCACUUUCUUACACCAUACACAAAAAUAAACUCAAAAUGGAUGAAAGACCAAAACGUAAGACAGGAAGCCAUCAAAAUCCUUGAGGAGAAAGCAGGCAAAAGCCUCUUUGACCUUGGCCACAGCAACUGCUUACUCAACACAUCUCCAGAUGCAAGGAAAACAGAAGCAAAAAUGAACUAUUGGGACCUCAUCAAGAUAAAAAGCUUCUGCACAGAGAAGGAAACAAUCAGUAAAAUUAAAAGGCAACUAAUGGAAUGGGAGAAGAUAUUUGCAAGCGACAUAUCAGAUAAAUGGUUAGUAUCCAAAAUCUAUAAAGAACUUAUCAAACUCAACAUCCAAAAACCAAAUAAUCCAGUGAAGAAAUGGGCAAAAAACAUGAAUAGACACUUCUCCAAAGAAGACAUCCAGAUGGCUAGCUGACACAUGAAAAAAUGCUCAACAUCAUUCAUCAUCCGGUAAAUAAAAAUCAAAACCACAAUGAGAUACCACCUCACACCUGUCAGAAUGGCUAACAUUAACAACUCAGGCAACAACAGAUGCCCACAAGGAUGUGGAGAAAGAGGAUCUUUUUUGCACUGCUGGUAGAAAUGUAAGCUGGUAUAGCCACUCUGGAAAACAGUAUGGAGGUUCCGCAAAAAAUUAAAAAUAGAACUACCCUAUGACCUAGCAUUUGCACUACUAGGUAUUUAUCCAAGGGAUACAGCUAUGCUGUUUAUACAGGCACAUGCACCCCAAUGUUUAUAGCAACACUGUCAACAAUAGCCAAAGUACAGGAAGAGCCCAAAUGUCCAUCGAUGGAUGAAUGGAUAUAGAAGAAAUAAAGAAGAUACACAGUGGAGUAUUACUCGGCAAUCAAAAAGAAUGAAAUCUUGCCAUUUGCAACUAUGUGGAUGGAACUAGAGGGCAAUAUGCUAAGCGAAGUUAGAGGAAGACAAAUAUCAUAUGACUUCACUCAUAUGAAGACUUUAAGAUAAAAAACAGAUGAACAUAAGGGAAGGGAAGGAAAAAUAAUAUAAAAACAGGGAGGGGGACAAAACCUAACAGGGUCUUAACUAUGGAGAACAAACAGAGGGUUACUGGAGGGAUUGUGGGA